CAUACAAAGCUUUGAAACUUAACAUUAAUAUUUCAUUGCCAGUGCUUCUUUGCUCUCAAAAAUCAUCUUGUCGAACACUUGUGGAAACUGUGACUGCUCUAGCAAGAGUCAGUGCGGGAAGAAGGGAAGCAACUAUGCUCUUGACAUAGUUGAGACUAAGAAGAGCUAUGUGGAGACUGUUGUCAUGGACAUUCCUGCAGCUGUGCAAGUGCGGUACUAGCUGCUCUUGUGUCAACUGCACAUGCGGUCAUUAAGACCAUACUAUGUUAAAAUGUGUGGCUGUGUUAAAUGUGAUGCUCAUGUUGAUGUAAUCACAGUGAAUAAAUGUGUGUUGUGUUUGUGUCUGAGUUAUAUUUUUCCUUUGUGUCCAUCUCUGAGUCUAUAGUAAUGUAGUAGCCAUCUUUGUGGCUUUAUGCGAUUGAAUGGACUAGAAGUU
This is a long non-coding RNA of Gastrolobium bilobum, 436 nucleotides long. RefSeq lists it as uncharacterized. The record is from RefSeq and is a predicted model, not a curated record. NCBI's taxonomy places the organism in Eukaryota, Viridiplantae, Streptophyta, Magnoliopsida, Fabales, Fabaceae. The transcript has 3 exons.